RNAcentral lists this ribosomal RNA (488 nucleotides) under uncultured bacterium. RNAcentral's name for it is "bacterial SSU rRNA". It matches the Rfam family "Bacterial small subunit ribosomal RNA", at positions 1 to 478 of the family's 1533-position model. The record is from RNAcentral.
AAUUCGCCCUUAGAGUUUGAUCAUGGCUCAGAUUGAACGCUGGCGGCAUGCCUUACACAUGCAAGUCGAACGGCAGCAUAGGAGCUUGCUCCUGAUGGCGAGUGGCGAACGGGUGAGUAAUAUAUCGGAACGUGCCCUAGAGUGGGGGAUAACUAGUCGAAAGACUAGCUAAUACCGCAUACGAUCUACGGAUGAAAGUGGGGGAUCGCAAGACCUCAUGCUCCUGGAGCGGCCGAUAUCUGAUUAGCUAGUUGGUGGGGUAAAAGCCUACCAAGGCAACGAUCAGUAGCUGGUCUGAGAGGACGACCAGCCACACUGGGACUGAGACACGGCCCAGACUCCUACGGGAGGCAGCAGUGGGGAAUUUUGGACAAUGGGGGCAACCCUGAUCCAGCAAUGCCGCGUGAGUGAAGAAGGCCUUCGGGUUGUAAAGCUCUUUUGUCAGGGAAGAAACGGUAGUAGCGAAUAACUAUUACUAAUGACGGUAC